AACUUCAUCAGACACCUCUCUCUCUCUCUCUCUCUCACACUCGGUGACUCAAGAACAUCAUGCCAGAUCUCUCAAGAUGCAGUUUCAUGACUAGAUCUGUGAGGAUUUCACCAGAUCGAUGAAGGUCUGCAACCCUUGUUCUAGGAAUCUUGAAAAUCUUUCAUCAUUCAAACGAUACCUGAAUCUCUAAUCCCGCCCAAAUCCUUUUCUCUUUGCAGUCCCGGUUCAAAUUUUGAAUCCCUAAUUGAAGCACAUGAAACCCUGGCCACAUAUUUUCACAUACAUCCCGAAAAGGUGAAAAAAGGCAGUUGGCACCAAAUCACCUCCCAUUCUCUUUCGGUUCUCUCUCAAUACACUAUUACCACACAUCGAUUAGCCCCUGUUCUUCGUCAUCACCAAAUGGCACCCAGGUACAUCUUCUCUCUGUAUAAUGCUCUUGAAUCAUUUUUGUGUUAUUAGUUUAGUAUUCUACGUUUAAAAGGGUUUUACUGCUACCUAGCAACCUGAAGUUGCAGACCUAGGGUUUUGAAUACCCAAUUUCAGGCAAAAGAAGAUUUAUAGAAGAAGUUAAGAGCGUUGAUCUUUGUGUCAGUUGAGUACAGAGCAGGAGAUCGACAUUGUUUCGAAUCUGUGAUUCCAAGUUGAAGUUUUUGGAAACUGGGAAGACCAUGCUGGGAUUUCCGAAUUCUUAAGAGUAAUUCGUUUGUUGCAACUUUGAUUUCUUAAAGUCUAUGUCUAUUUAAGUGUUUCUUGAAGUCAAGCACAAGCCCCAAAGUUCCUGGUGAUUUCUUGUGCAUAUUCAAGAGUUUACCCCCUCAUAUAUCCAAGGAUUUCAACCUGGUGAAGCUUUUGUGGUCCGAAAUAUGGCUAACCUUGUUCCACCACUAAAGAGGGCUGCUACUGCUGAUCAGAUAUUGAGGGAGUUGCAAAGUAUUUCACACAUGUUGGUUCAAGUGGUUUACAUUAUUUGAAAACACAUAACUUGAAUACCAAAUUGGUUUACAUUCUAACCAGUUUAUGCGCCUUGCUUAUCUUAGGGCCUCGCUUUUUAAGCGCCUUGCGCCUAGGCUUCGGGCACGGCCUUUGCGCCUAGGCUUCGGGCACGGCCUUUGCGCCUAGGCUUCGGGCACGGCCUUUGCGCCUUAAGUGCGCCUGGCGCCUUUGACAACAUAUAAUGGUGUUACUUGAAACUGUAACAUACUAUUAGCUCAGUAUGGCGUUAUAAUGAGUAAAAAUGGGAUGAUACCUGGAAACUAGAAGGCUUCUUCAGUUAAGUUAAAUUGGAGGUCAUCUACUGCAAAUACAUAUAAGACUGGUACUUGUUGAUAACGUCUAAGUCGUAGGCACUUAACCCUUUUAGGCUUCAUUCUGAGUUGUUCUUUAUCGAUAGCAUGGGGGCUGGGGAAGAGAGCUCACCUGCUAAGCCUUCCAAACCUGCUUCAGUUGGAAAUUGCAAGCUUUCUAACCGUUUGGAUCCAGUUGCGAAAAAAUAAACCUUUGGACGAAAGUCACAAAACUGGCCAAACUUCAGGGACGAAAAUGGCAUUAUACUCAAUAAAAAAGCUUACUUUUUUAUGAACCCUGCUGUAUCAUUCUUUUUGUUUAAUUGUUCUGUUAUUUCAGGUUGCUGAUUUGGCAAGGCUAAGUCAUGAAAACACAGGGAAAUUGCUUGGGUAUUGUAUAGAUACUAGCCCGUCAACGAAUGUUAGUUUUUGAAUAUGCGUCGGACGGAACAUUGUAUGAGCAUCUCCAUUCUUGAUGACUUUGAAAGUUGGAAAACUCUUGUGAUGAGAUCAGAAAGUAGCGCACAUUCGAUUAGCCAUGAAGGUGAUAUGUGUUCUUCCGAGCUCGUUUGAAGAACGCGAUCUGGAUAUAUGUGUUCACAAGGAAAUCCAGCACACAUUUAAGGCCCCAAGACCGUAUAUCCAUGAAAGAAUUGUGUGCCAUUUUGGAAAAAUAGAAUCGACACAUCAUCUUCUUCAGAGAUGAAGGCGACUUCAUUAGCCUGGGCCGAGCUCAUGCUCUCCCCUUGACCAGAGUCAUAGAGCUUGGCAUCAUAUAGUAAAUACUUCCUAUAUACAUCAUUAUACUAGGACACGUUUAGGAAUUUUGUGUUCGUGAUCGUUUGACAAUUUCAAUCGAGAUUUUUUUAAUCAAGAUUAACCAUAUAAAUGUUAUAUCAUAUAACACAGAUCAAACUAUUUGUGAACACUUGAUUUGAAGUUCUGUUUUGCAGUCCUGUGUUGAAUAUAUUUAAUAGUG
Helianthus annuus (common sunflower) is the source of this 2262-nucleotide long non-coding RNA. RefSeq lists it as uncharacterized. The transcript is spliced from 9 exons. The record is from RefSeq and is a predicted model, not a curated record. Lineage: Eukaryota; Viridiplantae; Streptophyta; Magnoliopsida; Asterales; Asteraceae.